This 253-nucleotide ribosomal RNA is filed under the name uncultured bacterium. RNAcentral's name for it is "partial 16S ribosomal RNA". It matches the Rfam family "Bacterial small subunit ribosomal RNA", at positions 524 to 776 of the family's 1533-position model. The record is from RNAcentral.
UACGUAGGGGGCAAGCGUUGUCCGGAUUUAUUGGGCGUAAAGAGCGUGUAGGCGGCUUUGCAAGUCCGUUGUGAAAACUCGAGGCUCAACCUCGAGACGCCGGUGGAAACUGCAAAGCUAGAGUCCGGAAGAGGAGAGUGGAAUUCCUGGUGUAGCGGUGAAAUGCGUAGAUAUCGUAAGGAAGACCAGUGGCGAAGGCGGGUCUCUGGACAGUUCCUGACGCUGAGGCACGAAGGUCAGGGGAGCAAACGGG